RNAcentral lists this ribosomal RNA (447 nucleotides) under uncultured bacterium. RNAcentral's name for it is "bacterial SSU rRNA". It matches the Rfam family "Bacterial small subunit ribosomal RNA", at positions 227 to 695 of the family's 1533-position model. The record is from RNAcentral.
GGGCUUGCAUCUGAUUAGCUAGUUGGUAGGGUAAUGGCCUACCAAGGCUAUGAUCGGUAGCUGGUCUGAGAGGAUGGUCAGCCAGAUGGGGACUGGGACACGGCCCCAACUCCUACGGGAGGCAGCAGCAAGGAAUCUUGGGCAAUGGGCGAAAGCCUGACCCAGCGACACCGCGUGAGGGAUGAAGGCCUUCGGGUUGUAAACCUCUUUUCUUGGGGAAGUGACGGUACCCAAGGAAUAAGCCUCGGCCAACUACGUGCCAGCAGCCGCGGUAAUACGUAGGAGGCGAACGUUAUUUGGAUUUACUGGGCGUAAAGGGAGCGUAGGCGGUUCCUUAAGUCAGAUGUGAAAUCUUCUGAUUCAAUCAGAAGGGGUCAUUUGAUACUGAGGGACUUGAGAACAGCAGAGGGAAAUGGAAUCCCCAGUGUAGCGGUGAAAUGCGUAGAU